GCGUGGGGGGCUGCCUAUAAUGCAGUCGACGAGCUUCCGUUGAAUGACGUGCUUGCACUGAUUUCAACAAUGAAGCGAGUGGCGAACUGGUGAGUAACACGUGGGAAAUCUGCCCAGAAGCAGGGGAUAACACUUGGAAACAGGUGCUAAUACCGUAUAACAACAAAAUCCGCAUGGAUUUUGUUUGAAAGGUGGCUUCGGCUAUCACUUCUGGAUGAUCCCGCGGCGUAUUAGUUAGUUGGUGAGGUAAAGGCCCACCAAGACGAUGAUACGUAGCCGACCUGAGAGGGUAAUCGGCCACAUUGGGACUGAGACACGGCCCAAACUCCUACGGGAGGCAGCAGUAGGGAAUCUUCCACAAUGGACGAAAGUCUGAUGGAGCAAUGCCGCGUGAGUGAAGAAGGGUUUCGGCUCGUAAAACUCUGUUGUUAAAGAAGAACACCUUUGAGAGUAACUGUUCAAGGGUUGACGGUAUUUAACCAGAAAGCCACGGCUAACUACGUGCCAGCAGCCGCGGUAAUACGUAGGUGGCAAGCGUUGUCCGGAUUUAUUGGGCGUAAAGCGAGCGCAGGCGGUUUUUUAAGUCUGAUGUGAAAGCCUUCGGCUUAACCGGAGAAGUGCAUCGGAAACUGGGAGACUUGAGUGCAGAAGAGGACAGUGGAACUCCAUGUGUAGCGGUGGAAUGCGUAGAUAUAUGGAAGAACACCAGUGGCGAAGGCGGCUGUCUAGUCUGUAACUGACGCUGAGGCUCGAAAGCAUGGGUAGCGAACAGGAUUAGAUACCCUGGUAGUCCAUGCCGUAAACGAUGAGUGCUAAGUGUUGGAGGGUUUCCGCCCUUCAGUGCUGCAGCUAACGCAUUAAGCACUCCGCCUGGGGAGUACGACCGCAAGGUUGAAACUCAAAGGAAUUGACGGGGGCCCGCACAAGCGGUGGAGCAUGUGGUUUAAUUCGAAGCUACGCGAAGAACCUUACCAGGUCUUGACAUCUUCUGCCAAUCUUAGAGAUAAGACGUUCCCUUUCGGGGACAGAAUGACAGGUGGUGCAUGGGUUGUCGUCAGCUCGUGUCGUGAGAUGUUGGGUUAAGUCCCGCAACGAGCGCAACCCUUAUUAUCAGUUGCCAGCAUUCAGUUUGGGCACCUCUGGUGAGACUGCGGUGACAAACCGGAGAAGGGUGGGGAUGACGUCAAUCA
This 1190-nucleotide ribosomal RNA is filed under the name Levilactobacillus brevis. RNAcentral's name for it is "bacterial SSU rRNA". It matches the Rfam family "Bacterial small subunit ribosomal RNA", at positions 33 to 1192 of the family's 1533-position model. The record is from RNAcentral. Lineage: Bacteria; Bacillati; Bacillota; Bacilli; Lactobacillales; Lactobacillaceae.